CCUACGGGAGGCAGCAGUGGGGAAUCUUGGACAAUGGGGGCAACCCUGAUCCAGCCAUGCCGCGUGAACGAUGAAGGCCUUAGGGUUGUAAAGUUCUUUCAGCUGGGAAGAUAAUGACAGUACCUGGAGAAUAAGCUCCGGCUAACUUCGUGCCAGCAGCCGCGGUAAUACGAAGGGGGCUAGCGUUGUUCGGAAUUACUGGGCGUAAAGCGCACGUAGGCGGACUUUUAAGUCAGGUGUGAAAUCCCGGGGCUCAACCUCGGAACUGCAUUUGAAACUGGGAGUCUUGAGACCAGGAGAGGUUAGCGGAAUACCGAGUGUAGAGGUGAAAUUCGUAGAUAUUCGGUGGAACACCAGUGGCGAAGGCGGCUAACUGGACUGGUACUGACGCUGAGGUGCGAAAGUGUGGGGAGCAAACAGGAUUAGAUACCCUGGUAGUCCACGCCGUAAACGAUGUGAACUAGCCGUUGGGCAGCAUGCUGUUCAGUGGCGCAGCUAACGCAUUAAGUUCACCGCCUGGGGAGUACGGCCGCAAGGUUAAAACUCAAAUGAAUUGACGG
RNAcentral lists this ribosomal RNA (560 nucleotides) under uncultured bacterium. Its description in RNAcentral is "bacterial SSU rRNA". It matches the Rfam family "Bacterial small subunit ribosomal RNA", at positions 338 to 916 of the family's 1533-position model. The record is from RNAcentral.